Molecule: long non-coding RNA, 1632 nt
Filed under: Brassica napus (rape)
Lineage: Eukaryota; Viridiplantae; Streptophyta; Magnoliopsida; Brassicales; Brassicaceae
Description: long non-coding RNA (BNAP_LNC017292)
Source: RNAcentral
CUCCGUGUUCAUGAAACCUAGCCAUGCCAAAAUCUCCUAACCUACCAUUGAACUCAGCGUCCAACAUAAUGUUUGAAGCUUUGACAUCUCGGUGCAGAACAACUUGGUCAGCAGCUGUAUGGAGGUACCAUAGAGCAGACGCUAUUCCUUUAACAACCACAAGUCUCUGUGACCAAGGAAGAACCGGUUUCGUCUCAUCAAACAAAUGCUCGUCAAGGCUACCGUUAGGCAUGUACUCCGAGACAAGAAGAAGUUCCCGCUUCCUCCUGCAAUACCCAAAAAGUGGAACAAGAUUCCUGUGUUUCAGACAUUCCAUGCUCACCACUUCAGCCACAAAUUGCUUCACACCUUCAUCACCAUUAUGUGACACUCUCUUCACUGCUAUUUCUCUGCCUUGCGGAAGAUGACCUCUAUAGACUUCACCAAAGCCUCCUUUUCCGAGGAACUCAUCUUUACUGAAACCCUUUGUUGCUUUGUACAAGGACUUGUAAGAGAACCGAUGUGCAUCAAACUCCUUCUCCCAUGUUUCAGAAACUUCAGAAUACUUCUUCCUCCUGCGGACAUAAACUCCAGCAAGAAAAGCCAAAACCGCAACAGCCACACAAACAACCAGAGCAAUAAUCCAAGGAGGUAGAUUCUUACGUGGAGCUUUAGGAUGAGGAACUUUAGGAAGUUUUGAGAUGUCAAGACCAUGCGGCGAUCCUCUGCCUGUGCUGAAACUCCACCAAAGAAUAUAGUGACCACUCACUGCGUUCCCUGUUGCUGCGGAGAAGCCAACAAACAGUUUGGAACUAUUAGGAAAAAUCUUUGAAAGGCUGAUUGGUUGCGACAAAAGAGGCCGACUUGGCUUCUGGACUUUAAGAGGUGCGAUCCAUACACUGAGCACAGUGCCGUCAUAAUCCACCCAGACUUGUACGAUGAGACUACCAGGGAAGCUGCAUCAACCAGAACCGGAGCAAAUGUGCCGAUCCCCACAGUAUAUGGUGAGAAAUCUGGCAAAGGCAGGUUGUUGUUUAGGUACAAGACCACUUGUUCCAUCGUAGGCCUAGACUCUGGCACGAUAUUUGAGCAGAGCAGACCGAGUUUCAUAACCAUCUCAACUUCCUCUGGUGAGAACUCAUCUCCCAGUCUUGGAUCAGUGGCAUCGAGCAAAGCAUCCUUCUUCCAACACUCGCAAACCCAUUUGAUCAUAUGUCGUUUCUCAGGUUGCAACUGCGGUUCCAAUGGUCUUCUCCCACAUGCUACUUCAAGCAUGAAAACACCAAAGGCGUAAACAUCAGUUGCAGUGGAAGCUCCCAUUGUGAUUAGCUCAGGUGCCAUGUACCCUACUGUUCCCACAGCAGCUGUUGUGGCUGCAUCGCCUCCGUGUUCAUGAAACCUAGCCAUGCCAAAAUCUCCUAACCUACCAUUGAACUCAGCGUCCAACAUAAUGUUUGAAGCUUUGACAUCUCGGUGCAGAACAACUUGGUCAGCAGCUGUAUGGAGGUACCAUAGAGCAGACGCUAUUCCUUUAACAACCACAAGUCUCUGUGACCAAGGAAGAACCGGUUUCGUCUCAUCAAACAAAUGCUCGUCAAGGCUACCGUUAGGCAUGUACUCCGAGACAAGAAGAAGUUCCCGCUUCCUCCUGCA